ACAAAUUGAUUCCACAUCUCUACGUCUUGUGAACUGUUAUCUUGCCCAUGCCGGCACGCUCUUUGUGUCGUCCGGCAUGUUUAUGUCAACGUUGAUCUGCCUGAAAGACUGAGACUUUAUAUACAAAAUAUAAAGA
RNAcentral lists this unclassified non-coding RNA (136 nucleotides) under soil metagenome. RNAcentral describes it as "partial internal transcribed spacer 1". The record is from RNAcentral.